GAUGAACGCUGGCGGCGUGCCUAAUACAUGCAAGUCGAGCGAACGGACGAGAAGCUUGCUUCUCUGAUGUUAGCGGCGGACGGGUGAGUAACACGUGGAUAACCUACCUAUAAGACUGGGAUAACUUCGGGAAACCGGAGCUAAUACCGGAUAAUAUUUUGAACCGCAUGGUUCAAAAGUGAAAGACGGUCUUGCUGUCACUUAUAGAUGGAUCCGCGCUGCAUUAGCUAGUUGGUAAGGUAACGGCUUACCAAGGCAACGAUGCAUAGCCGACCUGAGAGGGUGAUCGGCCACACUGGAACUGAGACACGGUCCAGACUCCUACGGGAGGCAGCAGUAGGGAAUCUUCCGCAAUGGGCGAAAGCCUGACGGAGCAACGCCGCGUGAGUGAUGAAGGUCUUCGGAUCGUAAAACUCUGUUAUUAGGGAAGAACAAAUGUGUAAGUAACUGUGCAUAUCUUGACGGUACCUAAUCAGAAAGCCACGGCUAACUACGUG
Molecule: ribosomal RNA, 497 nt
Filed under: uncultured bacterium
Lineage: Bacteria
Description: partial 16S ribosomal RNA
Rfam family: Bacterial small subunit ribosomal RNA
Source: RNAcentral